UUUUAGCCCCGAUAGCAGCGGCAUCCUUUUUUGUAGUCAUAUCGACUCCUCUCUAUGACUACAAAAAAGAUAUAGCGGAUAGCGGGAAAUAGC
This 93-nucleotide small RNA is filed under the name Flavobacterium terrae. RNAcentral's name for it is "Flavo-1 RNA". It matches the Rfam family "Flavo-1 RNA". Lineage: Bacteria; Pseudomonadati; Bacteroidota; Flavobacteriia; Flavobacteriales; Flavobacteriaceae. The record is from Rfam by way of RNAcentral.